CUCAACAAACUCAACUUCAUUUUUGAUUCUACGCUUCUUCACUCUCAAAAAAAUAAAACACAAGCUAUGAAGAAAUCGACUCCGGAUCCAAGAUGGAGCUUCACCAAAUUCCUAUUCAAUUCGUCGUCCGUCCUUACCAAAUCGGAAUCAAUCCGUAUUCAUGCACAAAAUUGAGAAGAUUUGCGGACGUAUCGUGGCCGCGUUCGAUAAAUUUAAUCUGAUAGUAUGAGCAAGAGGCAGUUGCUCAUGAUGAUGCAAUGCUUCUCCGAUGACUGUGCAAGGCUAGCUUGACAAAGUUGCAAGGUAAGGUGGAGGCAAGGCAAGUGAGCAUUCAUGGCAUAGCAAGAAGCAAACUUGGUGCAAAGUUGAGUUUUCUUGCUCAUGAAGCAAAUGGAGUCAUGGAAGAUUGAAGAAUGAAGAAUGAAGCUACAAUUAGUACUAGGGUUUAGGUCAUGGAAAAAGAGGUUGAUUGACUUUGGUCAACCGGUUGACAAAAAGUCAACCUUUGUAAAAUUUACGUUUUUUUUUUUUGUAUUUCCUUUUGUAAUGGACAAUAUAAGUGUUGAAUGAAUGAAUGGACCUUUAUUUGAA
Lathyrus oleraceus (garden pea) is the source of this 591-nucleotide long non-coding RNA. RefSeq lists it as uncharacterized. The transcript has 2 exons. Lineage: Eukaryota; Viridiplantae; Streptophyta; Magnoliopsida; Fabales; Fabaceae. The record is from RefSeq and is a predicted model, not a curated record.